RNAcentral lists this ribosomal RNA (497 nucleotides) under uncultured bacterium. RNAcentral's name for it is "partial 16S ribosomal RNA". It matches the Rfam family "Bacterial small subunit ribosomal RNA", at positions 28 to 507 of the family's 1533-position model. The record is from RNAcentral.
GAUGAACGCUGGCGGCGUGCCUAAUACAUGCAAGUCGAGCGAACAGAUAAGGAGCUUGCUCCUUUGACGUUAGCGGCGGACGGGUGAGUAACACGUGGGUAACCUACCUAUAAGACUGGAAUAACUCCGGGAAACCGGGGCUAAUGCCGGAUAACAUUUAGAACUGCAUGGUUCUAAAGUGAAAGAUGGUUUUGCUAUCACUUAUAGAUGGACCCGCGCCGUAUUAGCUAGUUGGUAAGGUAACGGCUUACCAAGGCAACGAUACGUAGCCGACCUGAGAGGGUGAUCGGCCACACUGGAACUGAGACACGGUCCAGACUCCUACGGGAGGCAGCAGUAGGGAAUCUUCCGCAAUGGGCGAAAGCCUGACGGAGCAACGCCGCGUGAGUGAUGAAGGUCUUCGGAUCGUAAAACUCUGUUAUUAGGGAAGAACAAAUGUGUAAGUAACUGUGCACGUCUUGACGGUACCUAAUCAGAAAGCCACGGCUAACUACGUG